GAUGAACGCUGGCGGCGUGCUUAACACAUGCAAGUCGAACGAAGCACCUUAUUCUGAUUUCUUCGGAAUGAAAAAUUUGGUGACUGAGUGGCGGACGGGUGAGUAACGCGUGGGUAACCUGCCUCAUACAGGGGGAUAACAGUUAGAAAUGACUGCUAAUACCGCAUAAGACCACAGCACCGCAUGGUGCAGGGGUAAAAACUCCGGUGGUAUGAGAUGGACCCGCGUCUGAUUAGGUAGUUGGUGGGGUAACGGCCUACCAAGCCGACGAUCAGUAGCCGACCUGAGAGGGUGACCGGCCACAUUGGGACUGAGACACGGCCCAAACUCCUACGGGAGGCAGCAGUGGGGAAUAUUGCACAAUGGGGGAAACCCUGAUGCAGCGACGCCGCGUGAGCGAUGAAGUAUUUCGGUAUGUAAAGCUCUAUCAGCAGGGAAGAAAAUGACGGUACCUGACUAAGAAGCACCGGCUAAAUACGUGCCAGCAGCCGCGGUAAUACGUAUGGUGCAAGCGUUAUCCGGAUUUACUGGGUGUAAAGGGAGCGUAGACGGAGUGGCAAGUCUGAUGUGAAAACCCGGGGCUCAACCCCGGGACUGCAUUGGAAACUGUCAAUCUAGAGUACCGGAGAGGUAAGCGGAAUUCCUAGUGUAGCGGUGAAAUGCGUAGAUAUUAGGAGGAACACCAGUGGCGAAGGCGGCUUACUGGACGGUAACUGACGUUGAGGCUCGAAAGCGUGGGGAGCAAACAGG
RNAcentral lists this ribosomal RNA (750 nucleotides) under uncultured Lachnospiraceae bacterium. RNAcentral describes it as "bacterial SSU rRNA". It matches the Rfam family "Bacterial small subunit ribosomal RNA", at positions 28 to 776 of the family's 1533-position model. Lineage: Bacteria; Bacillati; Bacillota; Clostridia; Lachnospirales; Lachnospiraceae. The record is from RNAcentral.